Molecule: non-coding RNA, 73 nt
Organism: Salvelinus sp. IW2-2015
Lineage: Eukaryota; Metazoa; Chordata; Actinopteri; Salmoniformes; Salmonidae
Source: the annotation of a RefSeq genome assembly
GUUUACGUAGUGUCGUGGUUAUCACGUUCACCUAACACGCAAAAGGUCCCCGGUUCAAAACCGUGCGUGAACA